RNAcentral lists this ribosomal RNA (478 nucleotides) under uncultured bacterium. RNAcentral's name for it is "partial 16S ribosomal RNA". It matches the Rfam family "Bacterial small subunit ribosomal RNA", at positions 28 to 523 of the family's 1533-position model. The record is from RNAcentral.
GACGAACGCUGGCGGCGUGCUUAACACAUGCAAGUCGAACGGUAAGGCCCUUCGGGGUACACGAGUGGCGAACGGGUGAGUAACACGUGGGUGAUCUGCCCUACACUUCGGGAUAAGCCUGGGAAACUGGGUCUAAUACCGGAUAGGACCCUGGGAUGCAUGUCCUGGGGUGGAAAGCUUUUGCGGUGUGGGAUGGGCCCGCGGCCUAUCAGCUUGUUGGGGGGGUGAUGGCCUACCAAGGCGACGACGGGUAGCCGGCCUGAGAGGGUGACCGGCCACACUGGGACCGAGAUACGGCCCAGACUCCUACGGGAGGCAGCAGUGGGGAAUAUUGCACAAUGGGCGCAAGCCUGAUGCAGCGACGCCGCGUGGGGGAUGACGGCCUUCGGGUUGUAAACCUCUUUCAGCACCGACGAAGCGCAAGUGACGGUAGGUGCAGAAGAAGGACCGGCCAACUACGUGCCAGCAGCCGCAGUAA